Choloepus didactylus (southern two-toed sloth) is the source of this 142-nucleotide small nuclear RNA. RefSeq annotates it as U4 spliceosomal RNA. The record is from RefSeq and is a predicted model, not a curated record. Lineage: Eukaryota; Metazoa; Chordata; Mammalia; Pilosa; Megalonychidae. The transcript has a single exon.
AGCUUUUCACAGGGGCAGAAUCUGUAGGCAAUGAAGUUUAUCUGAGGCACAAUUAUUGCUAAUUGAAAACUUUUCCCAAUACCCCACAGUGACAACUUCAAAUAUAGUCAGCAUUGGCAAUUUUUGACAGUCUCUAUGGAGU